CUACGGGUUGCUCCAGGCGAGAAAACUUUGCAAUGUGCGAAAGCACGACAAGGUUAAUCCGAGUGGUUUGUGCUAAACGAACCUUUUGACAGUCCUAGAAACACUGUUGAAUAAGGGGUGGGCAAGUUCUGGUGUCAGCCGCCGCGGUAAAACCAGCACCUCAAGUGGUCAGGAUGAUUAUUGGGCCUAAAGCAUCCGUAGCCGGCUCUGUAAGUUUUCGGUUAAAUCUGUACGCUCAACGUACAGGCUGUCGGGAAUACUGCAGAGCUAGGGAGUGGGAGAGGUAGACGGUACUCGGUAGGAAGGGGUAAAAUCCUUUGAUCUAUUGAUGACCACCUGUGGCGAAGGCGGUCUACCAGAACACGUCCGACGGUGAGGGAUGAAAGCUGGGGGAGCAAACCGGAUUAGAUACCCCCGUAGUC
This 422-nucleotide ribosomal RNA is filed under the name uncultured archaeon. RNAcentral's name for it is "partial 16S ribosomal RNA". It matches the Rfam family "Archaeal small subunit ribosomal RNA", at positions 323 to 746 of the family's 1478-position model. The record is from RNAcentral.